CAUAGUGAUGAAUUAUAUCACAAUUGUCACUACCUCUGAGGCAUAUUCUUGAUUCGUUUUUUUUUUUUAGAUUUUGGUUUCUAUCACCUUACUUCUUUAGGAGCCUGAUG
This is a small nucleolar RNA of Arabidopsis thaliana (thale cress), 110 nucleotides long. It matches the Rfam family "Small nucleolar RNA snoR17". Lineage: Eukaryota; Viridiplantae; Streptophyta; Magnoliopsida; Brassicales; Brassicaceae. The record is from Rfam.